This 504-nucleotide ribosomal RNA is filed under the name uncultured bacterium. RNAcentral describes it as "bacterial SSU rRNA". It matches the Rfam family "Bacterial small subunit ribosomal RNA", at positions 28 to 490 of the family's 1533-position model. The record is from RNAcentral.
GACGAACGCUGGCGGCGUGCCUAAUACAUGCAAGUCGAACGCACUCUCGUUUAGAUUGAAGGAGCUUGCUCCUGAUUGAUAAACAUUUGAGUGAGUGGCGGACGGGUGAGUAACACGUGGGUAACCUGCCCUAAAGUGGGGGAUAACAUUUGGAAACAGAUGCUAAAUACCGCAUAAAAACCUAAACACCGCAUGGUGUAGGGUUGAAAGAUGGUUUCGGCUAUCACUUUAGGAUGGACCCGCGGUGCAUUAGUUAGUUGGUGAGGUAAAGGCUCACCAAGACCGUGAUGCAUAGCCGACCUGGGAGGGUAAUCGGCCACACUGGGACUGAGACACGGCCCAGACUCCUACGGGAGGCAGCAGUAGGGAAUCUUCCACAAUGGACGAAAGUCUGAUGGAGCAACGCCGCGUGAGUGAAGAAGUUUCGGAUCGUAAAACUACUGUUGUUGAGAAGAAUGUAUCUGAUAGUAACUGAUCAGGUAGUGACGGUAUCCAACCAGAAAG